GGAUGGCAAAGAACUCUGGAUGAAAGAAAAUGCCGACGGCAGCAUGAAAGCACUGGACGGGGGGGUCCGCAUUACCAUCAAUCGCUGCAUAAGCUGUAUGUCAAUACGCCGUCGCUGUCGGACCGGACCUAUUGUUGAUUUCGGCGGCAAGGAGGAACUGUUCGAUAACGCCAGGCAGAUGGCCUGCCGGACGAUGUGAC
Molecule: ribosomal RNA, 200 nt
Filed under: uncultured eukaryote
Lineage: Eukaryota
Description: partial 18S ribosomal RNA
Source: RNAcentral